This is a long non-coding RNA of Struthio camelus australis, 2383 nucleotides long. RefSeq lists it as uncharacterized. The record is from RefSeq and is a predicted model, not a curated record. NCBI's taxonomy places the organism in Eukaryota, Metazoa, Chordata, Aves, Struthioniformes, Struthionidae.
UAUAACUAUGUAGCUCAUUUUAGAGGUAUUUGUGCAAGAAUAGAUUCAAGCUAAACUCCGGGAUGUGAAAGUGGUCAGACCGUAAGGGGGGAAGGGCACUGCUGCAGGAAUGGUCUGGUUCAUUCAUCUGUAGAUGAAUUCUUACGAUGAAGCUUCUAAGAAGAUCCAUUGAGCUGUAUGGAAAUACAAGUAAACAUGCUCACAGGAAAAGGGUGAAGAGAAUUGGACAGGCUCCCAGGACAAAAAGGGCCUCUUCCGAAUUGUUCCAGAACAACUUCUUUUAAUCCAUGUGUGAAUUCGUAUACUUUCUCACCUCAGGAAACUGAACAAAAAUCAGUUUUUUUUUUUGACACGUCAAGGCCCCUAACUAGCUGUUAAGCAUACUAUGUUGACCUUCCAAAAUUGGACGGAUGGAUAAGAGUAGAAGGCUGGGAAAUAAACAAACUACUUCUAUAUGGUCCAAGAAAGUGAGCCAAAGGCAGUAACGCUUUAUGCUACAAGGUUCUUCACAGACUCCACACCAAAGACUACUCUGCAAGAUUUGAAAAUGGCAUUUGUCUGAAUGUGAACAAGGAGAAUCCAAAGAUGACAUUAUCAUGAAGCACAAGCAUCACACAAGGGCUCUAUUCCUCUCCACAGUAAUGCAUCAGUCUCUUGCUUAAUGCCAGAUGCCCCAUCGUUCUGGAGUUGACCUUUGAGACUGAAAGAUAAUAGACACCUUAAGAACAGCUGCUCUGACGAAAAAUGGCUCCUGCAAAAAGUGUCUUAAUAAUAUGACAAGUGUUAUAAAUGAAUUCUGUUUGUUUAUUGUAGAGGUCUGCUUGAAAAUUACUAUCAGGUUUAACAUCUCAGAGCAAGAGGUAUGUAACAGAAAAAAUGAGAGGGUUACAAUGUUUAUGCAGUCAUUCCCAAGCUCUUUGUUAAUAGUAACGAUUGAAAAUCUACGUCUAAGGAAUCUUUUCACUCAUCACUGAAGCAAAGCUGUGUCCAAAAUCAAAUGUGGCAGCUGUUUAGCAGUACAUGACAACACUAAACAAAUGUUUAGACAAGGGAAUGAAAAAUAUCCUACAAAAAUGAUACUUCAGUAGGAUUUAUUUACAGAUAGUAAUACAGGAAGAAUUGUUUCUAAAUGUUUAAUACGUUUUCCAGACAUAGGCUUUGGCUCCUGAAAUAUGCCAGCAUUCCAAUAAUUAUUAAUAUGACAGACUUUAAUGUUCUGGAAUAUUAAUGUUGACGAACCUAUAUCCUUCACUUACCAAUCCCAUGCAGAGACAUUUUUCUGAAUCAAAUAUAUCCCAAGUGUAAGGAUUAUACCCGAAAGUUGUACAUCAAUGAUAAGUGUUAUCCACUGCAUUCAGUAUAUCAAAAGUUUAUGUUCCUGAUGUCUGUUGCUGUUUCGCCAUUCAUUUCAGUAUGGAGGAGGAGUAGAAGUCGUAGUGGUCUGCAGCUAUAUUAGCAAUUACAUUUCUGGGCAUCGCAGACUAUACUUUUUGGAAUUCUUUGCAGGAACAUGCCAAAAAAGCAUGGAUUUAAGAGGAAUUGUAACAAAAUGUUGUUCAUCAUAGUAUUUAUGGCUGUAGCCCCCAAGCAAUAAAGAAAAAGGAAAGGGAGCAACUGAAUCUCACGCGUCAGGGCAUAAAAAGAUCUUUACUAGGGACCAGGAAGGAACAUUGCUGAUGUUUUUGAACUGACAAGGUACUUUAGAAGUAGGUGGUUGUACGGGAAGGGUGUCAAUUGUGGGCUAAAGAUGUCUUUAACAGGCAAGCUCUAGGCUUCUUCAAUAAUUCAAGAUGUUUACUUAAUUGCCAAUGUAGUAUACGGAAUGUUAAGACAUCAAUACUACGAUGAAUAGAGACUGCAAGAGAAUGAAAAUAUAUUUAAAUAAAGUCUAAAGUGCAGGAUGAAGGUUUUAAUAUAAUCAAAACGUGAAAAGUAGAAACCCUAGAGAUGGAAUUUGUGUGAGUAAUCCUCAACACUGCACUGCUGUCGCUUCACGUUUAGUCAUGUAUCUCUGUUCAGUGCUUUGACAAAGUGAGAAGGUAAGAAAAAAAGACAAAACACAGAUGACAACAUUCAUUUUUGACAUAAGCAAACACAAGCAAAUGGUAACUGAAUACUUAUGCAGUGGAAUCAGUGAAUAAACAAAUGAUUUUAAUUACAAUUUUCAGCAGUUCAAUUGUGAGAUGAGAUAUGAGAUGACGUCCAAACAGCCAGGGAAAAGUAUUGGGGAAGAGGGAAAACUGAAAGCAAGCAAAUGGGUCUAGCUGUAUGACUUUACCAGUCAGUAUCAGGUAACCUUUACCCUAAAACUCAAAGGCCACCUUUGGUGGAUGUAAAUGGCUAUCAUUUACUGAUGUUCCUGAGAGUGGCUUGUUAAAAAUAA